CCUACGGGCGGCAGCAGUGGGGGAUAUUGCACAAUGGGGGAAACCCUGAUGCAGCGACGCCGCGUGAGUGAAGAAGUAUUUCGGUUUGUAAAGCUCUAUCAGCAGGGAAGAAAAUGACAGUACUUGACCAAGCAGCCCCGGCUAACUACGUGCCAGCAGCCGCGGUAACACGUAGGGGGCACGCGUUAUCCGGAUUUACUGGGUGUAAAGGGAGCGUAGACGGUUAUGUAAGUCUGGAGUGAAAGCCCGGGGCCCAACCCCGGGACUGAAUUGGAAACUGUGUAACUGGAGUACAGGAGGGGCAGGCGGAAUUCCAGGUGGAGCGGUGAAAUGCGGAGAUAUCAGGAGGAACACCGGCGGCGAAGGCGGCCUGCUGGACUGAAACUGACGUUGAGGCUCGAAAGCGUGGGGAGCAAACAGGAUUAGAUACCCCGGUAGUC
RNAcentral lists this ribosomal RNA (440 nucleotides) under uncultured bacterium. RNAcentral's name for it is "partial 16S ribosomal RNA". It matches the Rfam family "Bacterial small subunit ribosomal RNA", at positions 338 to 795 of the family's 1533-position model. The record is from RNAcentral.